RNAcentral lists this long non-coding RNA (872 nucleotides) under Struthio camelus australis. RNAcentral describes it as "lncRNA (ENSSCUG00000012640.1)". Lineage: Eukaryota; Metazoa; Chordata; Aves; Struthioniformes; Struthionidae. The record is from RNAcentral.
CUCCAGCCUACUUGCCUGCCCGGGGGUUUAGCUGAAUAUUAAUCACCACACACUGGACUGCGUGAAUGACAGUGCCCAGGUCUGCUGCGCCUUGCAUCCCUGAGGCACUAGGGGCAAGCGCCCACAAUGUUCAGAAGAUCCCGGCAUGGUGGGGAUGUUUUAGUACUUCCAUUUCAGAAGUGGCUGAACUCAAGCAGAGCGAGAUGAAGUGGUAUGUCUUGUCCCUGAGCCAGUGGGUGGCAGAACCAAGGCUGGACCACAGUAGUCGCCCUGCUUGGAGCCUCAGGAUGGAAACGGAGACUGAAGCAGGCAAUGAAAGGCCAGCUUGCAGAGGAGACGGAGCGGCCUGGGACAGUGUCAAGGCCCCUCAGCGUUGCCAGCAGGAUCUCCCCUUCAGUAAACCAUGAGGGGUCACUGGGUGGUGUUUCUUUCUUGGCACAGCUGCAGAUAUGGUCCAUUGCUUCUGUUAUGCUCUGCUAACAUUGUUUUCCUAGUGACUUUAGUGUUGAUCUAACAUAACCGUUACAUCUUAUUCCCGUUCUAAGAUGAAGUGUAAUAUAAGGGAGGCCUGUUUUUCAUUAGCAUUGAAUUUGCUGCACAGGAACUUUCUUUAACACAGUUCAUAAUGGGGCGAGGAGGUGGGAGGCAGGUUUAGUUAUUACCUUUGUUUCCUCUGCUGUAGGCUUCUCUGCAGAGCUCUGCCUUCUCUCCCAGGGGCCAGGAACUAAUUCCUCCAUACCCCUGCACUCCUGAGCCUCUCUUUAGAAGAGACUUCCAAUCAUGACAAAUUAUCUGUGCUGAUUUUGUGACAUGAACUGUUACCCAUUAGGGAAUGAACUGACACCAAUAAAUUCAUUUCACUUACAACCUCA